UAUUGCACAAUGGGGGAAACCCUGAUGCAGCGACGCCGCGUGAGUGAAGAAGUAUUUCGGUAUGUAAAGGUCUAGCAGCAGGGAAGAAAACGACGGUACCGGAGUAAGAAGCCCCGGCUAACUACGUGCCAGCAGCCGCGGUAAUACGUAGGGGGCAAGCGUUAGCCGGAUUUACUGGGUGCAAAGGGAGCGUAGACGGCAGCACAAGUCUGGAGUGAAAUGCCGGGGCUUAACCCCGGAACUGCUUUGGAAACUGUGCAGCUAGAGUGCAGGAGAGGUAAGUGGAAUUCCUAGUGUAGCGGUGAAAUGCGUAGAUAUUAGGAGGAACACCAGUGGCGAAGGCGGCUUACUGGACUGUAACUGACGUUGAGGCUCGAAAGCGAGGGGAGCAAACAGG
RNAcentral lists this ribosomal RNA (397 nucleotides) under uncultured bacterium. Its description in RNAcentral is "bacterial SSU rRNA". It matches the Rfam family "Bacterial small subunit ribosomal RNA", at positions 362 to 776 of the family's 1533-position model. The record is from RNAcentral.